GGGAACUCCCGCUCAGAGCCAGUGGCUGUCUCCUGCAGCUUCAUCGUUGCCGCCACAGGUUGUCGACUUCUUUGCACAGGAAUCAGCCACGGAGGUAGCCACAUCAUGAACAUGUGCAUCGAGGCCAGACCACACGCCCACAGGUUCUGGCUCCUGAGAUCUCUGAUGUUGGAGACCCUGAUGUGUCUGAGGAUAACCUGAGACAAAGUCAUGGGCUGCUUGCUGACGCCAAAAGCCACCACUUUGAAUGAGCUUAAACCGUUGCCAGCAUCGCUGGACAUGGGCAUGCAGGAGAUCACACCUCAUGUUGGGAAGUGAGUUCUCAGGCUCGAUUGUAAUACUAGUUAUCAAGAAAGUAUGUCACCCUAUUUAAACAAGAACAACCUGGCUUCUUAAAGGUGCGUAAGAAUGGCCACAGCUGGUACAGGGCUAAGCAGCAAGGAGCUUGGAGGAAACCCACAUUGUCUCCAGAAGGAACACAUCUGGAAAGGCUCCGUCCACUGCCAUGGCCAUCUGGACGGGGCGAGAUGAUGGACAGUGCAGAAGGAUACUGGAGGGGUGAAGCCAGGAUGUUUCGAGGACUUGCACAGCAGUGAGACAAAGGCAGCUCGAUCUCGUCACACGCCAGGCAGAGGCCCUGGAUGGGCCGGCCUGGACGCUCCAUUUCUCGCAGAGCUC
Ochotona princeps (American pika) is the source of this 678-nucleotide long non-coding RNA. RefSeq lists it as uncharacterized. NCBI's taxonomy places the organism in Eukaryota, Metazoa, Chordata, Mammalia, Lagomorpha, Ochotonidae. The transcript has 3 exons. The record is from RefSeq and is a predicted model, not a curated record.